GUGCACGCUGGCGGUAGGCCUAACCCAUGCCAGUCGAACGGCAGCACAGUAAGAGCUUGCUCUUACGGGUGGCGAGUGGCGGACGGGUGAGGAAUACAUCGGAAUCUACUUUUUCGUGGGGGAUAACGUAGGGAAACUUACGCUAAUACCGCAUACGAUCUACGGGUGAAAGCAGGGGAUCUUCGGACCUUGCGCGAUUGAAUGAGCCGAUGUCGGAUUAGCUAGUUGGCGGGGUAAAGGGCCACCAAGGCGACGAUCCGUAGCUGGUCUGAGAGGAUGAUCAGCCACACUGGAACUGAGACACGGUCCAGACUCCUACGGGAGGCAGCAGUGGGGAAUAUUGGACAAUGGGCGCAAGCCUGAUCCAGCCAUACCGCGUGGGUGAAGAAGGCCUUCGGGUUGUAAAGCCCUUUUGUUGGGAAAGAAAAGCAGCAGGUUAAUACCCCGCUGUUCUGACGGUACCCAAAGAAUAAGCACCGGCUAACUUCGUG
RNAcentral lists this ribosomal RNA (491 nucleotides) under uncultured bacterium. RNAcentral's name for it is "partial 16S ribosomal RNA". It matches the Rfam family "Bacterial small subunit ribosomal RNA", at positions 29 to 507 of the family's 1533-position model. The record is from RNAcentral.